This 320-nucleotide ribosomal RNA is filed under the name uncultured bacterium. RNAcentral describes it as "bacterial SSU rRNA". It matches the Rfam family "Bacterial small subunit ribosomal RNA", at positions 470 to 789 of the family's 1533-position model. The record is from RNAcentral.
UGACGGUACCUCUUGAAUAAGCUCCGGCUAACUACGUGCCAGCAGCCGCGGUAAUACGUAGGUGGCAAGCGUUAUCCGGAUUUAUUGGGCGUAAAGGGAACGCAGGCGGUUUUUUAAGUCUGAUGUGAAAGCCUUCGGCUUAACCGGAGAAUAGCAUUGGAAACUGGAAGACUUGAGUGCAGAAGAGGAGAGUGGAACUCCAUGUGUAGCGGUGAAAUGCGUAGAUAUAUGGAAGAACACCAGUGGCGAAAGCGGCUCUCUGGUCUGUAACUGACGCUGAGGUUCGAAAGCGUGGGUAGCAAACAGGAUUAGAUACCCUG